RNAcentral lists this ribosomal RNA (356 nucleotides) under uncultured Sphingobacteriales bacterium. Its description in RNAcentral is "bacterial SSU rRNA". It matches the Rfam family "Bacterial small subunit ribosomal RNA", at positions 1028 to 1382 of the family's 1533-position model. The record is from RNAcentral. Lineage: Bacteria; Pseudomonadati; Bacteroidota; Sphingobacteriia; Sphingobacteriales.
AUUUACGUAGGUGCUGCAUGGUUGUCGUCAGCUCGUGCCGUGAGGUGUCGGGUUAAGGUCCCAUAACGAGCGCAACCCCACCUUUAGUUGCCAUCAGGUUAAGCUGGGGACGUCUAAAGGAACUAGCCUACGCAAGUAGUGAGGAAGCGGGGAUGACGUCAAAUCAGCACGGCCCUUACGUCCAGGGCUACACACGUGCUACAAUGGCCGAUACAGAGGGCAGCUACCUGGUGACAGGAUGCAAAUCUCCAAAGUCGGUCUCAGUUCGGAUCGGAGUCUGCAACCCGACUCCGUGAAGUUGGAUUCGCUAGUAAUCGCGCAUCAGCCAUGGCGCGGUGAAUACGUUCCCGGGCCUU